UUUUUUCUUUCAAAAUGUUAUUAAGUUUAUUGCUUGGAAAUUGUUAUAAUUUUCUAUUGGUUUAUUUAUUACAGAAAAAAAAGGGACUGAACUGAGAGUGGGAAAAUAAUGAUAAUACUUCUUUCUUGCAAAAGAAAAAGGUUUUGCCCAUAAUAAUUCACUGAGCAAGACAUACAGACUUCUAUCCAAUGCUAUGAAAAUUAACCAAGGCACAUUAACUCCAGGAAAUUUUCAAAGGACAGAGAGAGAAGCUGUAACAAAUAGUUCUGGAGACUUUGAAGCACAGCCACAGUACUGAGGUCUCUGACCGACAAGCCUUCUGCUUUCUCCUUCUCACAGGGCUCCUCCUACAGAUGUUCUGAACACGUCUGCAUCCCGGCAAUUUUUUACUCUGCCCAGGUACUGAAUGUAAGGAACCAAGCUGCACAAAAAGAAGCGUGGGGUGUAGAAGGAGCACUGUGAGGAAUUUACCAGAAGUCAUGUCUAUACAAAAUGUAGGCAUGACUUCAAGCAAAAAUUAUUUGAGAGAGCAUAGUUGCGGAAUGACCGAGUUUAUUCUUAGAAAAUGACAGAA
Molecule: long non-coding RNA, 574 nt
Filed under: Parus major (Great Tit)
Lineage: Eukaryota; Metazoa; Chordata; Aves; Passeriformes; Paridae
Description: lncRNA (ENSPMJG00000005029.1)
Source: RNAcentral